AUUGAACGCUGGCGGAAUGCUUUACACAUGCAAGUCGAACGGUAGAGGGGGCAACCCCUUGAGAGUGGCGAACGGGUGAGUAAUAUAUCGGAACGUGCCCAGUCGUGGGGGAUAACGUAGCGAAAGUUACGCUAAUACCGCAUACGAUCUAAGGAUGAAAGCGGGGGACCGUAAGGCCUCGCGCGAUUGGAGCGGCCGAUAUCAGAUUAGGUAGUUGGUGGGGUAAAGGCUCACCAAGCCAACGAUCUGUAGCUGGUCUGAGAGGACGACCAGCCACACUGGAACUGAGACACGGUCCAGACUCCUACGGGAGGCAGCAGUGGGGAAUUUUGGACAAUGGACGCAAGUCUGAUCCAGCCAUUCCGCGUGCAGGAUGAAGGCCCUCGGGUUGUAAACUGCUUUUGUACGGAACGAAAAGGUUUCUCUUAAUACGAGGGGCUCAUGACGGUACCGUAAGAAUAAGCACCGGCUAACUACGUG
Molecule: ribosomal RNA, 480 nt
Filed under: uncultured bacterium
Lineage: Bacteria
Description: bacterial SSU rRNA
Rfam family: Bacterial small subunit ribosomal RNA
Source: RNAcentral